Long non-coding RNA from Xiphophorus maculatus (southern platyfish), 572 nucleotides. RefSeq lists it as uncharacterized. The record is from RefSeq and is a predicted model, not a curated record. NCBI's taxonomy places the organism in Eukaryota, Metazoa, Chordata, Actinopteri, Cyprinodontiformes, Poeciliidae. The transcript is spliced from 3 exons.
AAGCUGGAGUUUUGGUUUCUGUGGGGCUGCUUUUCUUGUCUCUAGUUAUCCACUAGAUGGAGCCAGGAAGCUGUGUUGUCCAGAGGGCGGUCUCAGGUGUUCAGCCAUCACACCUGCAGCCUAUCUGUCAUCAGCCAGUGUUUAAGAGAAGCCUGUCACCAGUCCUUCGAUGCCUGAGUGUUGCCGUUCAUGGUUCUCAGCGGCUGUUACCUUUGUGCCUUAUGAGUUUUAUCGUUUCACCUCCAAGAUUCUUCAUAAAGAAACCCCUGGUUCAUAAAUCCCUAUGACUGGUUCUUCUGGCUGAUCAAGUCUGUGCUACAACCUGUCCGCCCUCCAAUGAAGUGCAACUAACAAACCCUCAUCGCCGCCCAUUCUCUCUGGAUCUCCUGGCUUCAGUUCCAACCCCACCUGGACCCGGCACUCACCCUAGAAACCAAGUUCCAGCACCAGCAGAAUACCUCCCCCUGGUGGAUCAGUUCCAUUUCACUAAAUCCAGAUCUCCAGCUGUCCCAUACCCCGGGCAAAGAAGAUACAUUCAAACUCUUUUUACAAUAAACUUUAUUUAACUGACA